RNAcentral lists this transfer RNA (73 nucleotides) under Candidatus Aminicenantota bacterium. RNAcentral describes it as "Candidatus Aminicenantes bacterium tRNA-Arg". It matches the Rfam family "tRNA". From Rfam's summary of the family: Transfer RNA (tRNA) molecules are approximately 80 nucleotides in length. Their secondary structure includes four short double-helical elements and three loops (D, anti-codon, and T loops). The record is from RNAcentral. Lineage: Bacteria; Candidatus Aminicenantota. RNAcentral also lists the same sequence under 2 other names.
GCGCCUGUAGCUCAGAGGAUAGAGCUUGGGAUUCCUAAUCCCAGUGCCGCAGGUUCGAGUCCUGCCAGGCGCA